RNAcentral lists this ribosomal RNA (433 nucleotides) under uncultured bacterium. RNAcentral describes it as "partial 16S ribosomal RNA". It matches the Rfam family "Bacterial small subunit ribosomal RNA", at positions 29 to 507 of the family's 1533-position model. The record is from RNAcentral.
AGCGAACGCUGGCGGCAGGCUUAACACAUGCAAGUCGAGCGGGCCCUUCGGGGUCAGCGGCAGACGGGUGAGUAACACGUGGGAACGUACCCUUUGGUUCGGAAUAACGCUGGGAAACUAGCGCUAAUACCGGAUACGCCCUUUUGGGGAAAGGCUUGCUGCCGAAGGAUCGGCCCGCGUCUGAUUAGCUAGUUGGUGGGGUAAUGGCCUACCAAGGCGACGAUCAGUAGCUGGUCUGAGAGGAUGAUCAGCCACACUGGGACUGAGACACGGCCCAGACUCCUACGGGAGGCAGCAGUGGGGAAUAUUGGACAAUGGGCGCAAGCCUGAUCCAGCCAUGCCGCGUGAGUGAUGAAGGCCUUAGGGUUGUAAAGCUCUUUUGUCCGGGACGAUAACGACGGUACCGGAAGAAUAAGCCCCGGCUAACUUCGUG